RNAcentral lists this long non-coding RNA (768 nucleotides) under Homo sapiens (human). RNAcentral describes it as "HSALNT0096501". The record is from RNAcentral. Lineage: Eukaryota; Metazoa; Chordata; Mammalia; Primates; Hominidae.
CUUGGUGCUAGCUCAGGGCUCUCUCCAGUGUAAGCAGCACUUCUGAUAAAGGGGCAGUGUGUCUUUGAGGCUCUAGUGAGGGUCUUGGCACAGAUUGUGGCCCCAUUGGCUGGGGUGAAGCUGGGAGCUGCCAGUGACCUGCAGGGAGGGGUGCCUGCCUGAAAGAUGGAGACAGCCUGCAGGCCUUUGUUUACAGAGCCCAUCUCUCCUCUGAUGGAUGCGGCCAGCAGAAGUCUGUUUGCAAGUUUCUCCUGGAAACAUGAAUCAAGGGCCAGGCUACGCAUCUUUGGCAGGAACACCACGGUCAUUUCUUCUGUCUGCAUUGUUUCCAGGGCAGGUGUAAAGAAGGCCUGGGGUGACCCAGCAUCCUGACUUGGAGAAGAUCCUAUGGGGGAAGAGGGCCAUGGAGUGGUCAUCGCAGAUAAGGGGCCCUUUGGUGCUUUCUGUCCCAUGUGCGCUAAUAAUUCUUCAGCCACAGACAGCAUCUUGCGACAUCCAAAGUACUCUCAUAUCCAUGACUUUAUGUGACCCUCACAUUCUACCUUGAUUGGUGGGAAACUGAGGCUGGUAAAAGGAGAUGUGACUUGCCCAAGAUCACACAUCCAGCCAGCAGCCAAGUCAAGCUGUAGAGUGCAGUGGAUAAGAGGAUGGUAUCAGGCCAUCCUGGCUCUGCUGUGCUUAAGCCGUGUGGCCUUAGGCAUGUCAUUUCACCUCCCUGAGCCUCGGCUUCUUCAUUUAUCAGUAGGAAUAGUGCAGAAUUGUUCUGAG